AUGAAAACCGAGAAGAGAAACAAAGGAAUCAAAGAAAAUAGAAAAAAGAAAGAAGAACUAUUGAAAACUGUGAAAGAAACGUAUAAAUCCGAUGAAAAAAGCAAAGAAAACAGAAAAACCGAAGAGAAACGGGAAGAAACAAAGAAAACCAAAAAACAAAAUGAAAUGAAACGGAAAAAGAACUUGAAGAAAAGCAGAACCUACCAUGACCGAAGGAGCCAUAGCGACCGAACGAACGUUAUUCGUCCAGCCCAUUUGCAUGGACGUGGUGGUGUUGCGGACGAGGGGAGCUACCAUCCUGAGAAUAGCUCCCGUGUUCCUGAUGGUGGAAAGAAAGGCAAUGAAGGGACAACCUUGAAAUAA
Molecule: ribosomal RNA, 363 nt
Filed under: Triticum aestivum (bread wheat)
Lineage: Eukaryota; Viridiplantae; Streptophyta; Magnoliopsida; Poales; Poaceae
Description: partial small subunit ribosomal RNA
Source: RNAcentral